Molecule: ribosomal RNA, 278 nt
Filed under: uncultured bacterium
Lineage: Bacteria
Description: partial 16S ribosomal RNA
Rfam family: Bacterial small subunit ribosomal RNA
Source: RNAcentral
UGCCAGCAGCCGCGGUAAUACGGAGGGGGUUAGCGUUGUUCGGAAUCACUGGCGUAAAGCGCACGUAGGCUGACUGGUCAGUUGGGGGUGAAAUCCCGGGGCUCAACCUCGGAACUGCCUUCAAUACUGCCAGUCUUGAGUCCGAGAGAGGUGAGUGGAAUUCCUAGUGUAGAGGUGAAAUUCGUAGAUAUCAGGAGGAACACCGAUGGCGAAGGCAUCUCUCUGGGUCGAUAUUGACGCUGAGGCGCGAAGGCGUGGGUAGCGAACGGGAUUAGAUA